This 253-nucleotide ribosomal RNA is filed under the name uncultured bacterium. Its description in RNAcentral is "partial 16S ribosomal RNA". It matches the Rfam family "Bacterial small subunit ribosomal RNA", at positions 524 to 776 of the family's 1533-position model. The record is from RNAcentral.
UACGGAGGGUGCAAGCGUUAUCCGGAAUUACUGGGUUUAAAGGGUGCGUAGGCGGCGCUGUAAGUCAGGGGUGAAAGGUUCCGGCUCAACCGGAGAAUUGCCUUUGAUACUGCAGUUCUAGGAUUGGGUUGAGGUUGGCGGAAUGUGACAUGUAGCGGUGAAAUGCAUAGAUAUGUCAUAGAACACCGAUUGCGAAGGCAGCCAACUGGACCUUGAUUGACGCUGAGGCACGAAAGCGUGGGGAGCAAACAGG